RNAcentral lists this ribosomal RNA (484 nucleotides) under uncultured bacterium. RNAcentral's name for it is "partial 16S ribosomal RNA". It matches the Rfam family "Bacterial small subunit ribosomal RNA", at positions 30 to 507 of the family's 1533-position model. The record is from RNAcentral.
AUUGAACGCUGGCGGCAGGCCUAACACAUGCAAGUCGAGCGGAUGAAGGGAGCUUGCUCCUGGAUUCAGCGGCGGACGGGUGAGUAAUGCCUAGGAAUCUGCCUGGUAGCGGGGGAUAACGUCCGGAAACGGGCGCUAAUACCGCAUACGUCCUGAGGGAGAAAGUGGGGGAUCUUCGGACCUCACGCUAUCAGAUGAGCCUAGGUCGGAUUAGCUAGUUGGUGGGGUAAAGGCCUACCAAGGCGACGAUCCGUAACUGGUCUGAGAGGAUGAUCAGUCACACUGGAACUGAGACACGGUCCAGACUCCUACGGGAGGCAGCAGUGGGGAAUAUUGGACAAUGGGCGCAAGCCUGAUCCAGCCAUGCCGCGUGUGUGAAGAAGGUCUUCGGAUUGUAAAGCACUUUAAGUUGGGAGGAAGGGCAGUAAGUUAAUACCUUGCUGUUUUGACGUUACCAACAGAAUAGGCACCGGCUAACUUCGUG